CCCACUUCAGCUCCUUCCACACACCAUCCCGAAGAAUGGUGUGCUUCCGGGCCACCCUACUGGUCUCAUGGUGAUCCUUAAUGAUCACCCUGCUAGAUUCUUCCAUUAAAACCUGCAAUGUAAAUGUUAUGUGUAAGAUUGGAGAAUAUCCGCCCGCUGCCUCUCGAUGAAAAAUCCUCGGACAUAGAAAUUUCUCCCCGCUGAAAUUAUUUUUUCCCCGGC
This 222-nucleotide long non-coding RNA is filed under the name Mytilus galloprovincialis (Mediterranean mussel). The record is from RNAcentral. Lineage: Eukaryota; Metazoa; Mollusca; Bivalvia; Mytilida; Mytilidae.